CGAUUUCCCUUCUUUUGUGAAGUUGAUCUCUUUUGGGAAGUCCUUUGAAAGAUCAGCAUUUACAAAGACUUUUUCUACCUUGAAGUUGGAGCAUGAUGCCAUUUCUGGGUGUAGUCUAACCGGGAACCCCACUGCGCUGGUGAUGAAGCUCAGUCCUUCCCAAGAAAACAUGUGCAUCGGUACAUUUUUCAAGUGAACCCAGAGUGAAAUUGAUUUCACCUCAGGUUUCUCUUCCAACUCCUUCGGAAUCCACUUGGUUACCACUAAAGGUAUGUUCCUGAUGUUCCACAUCCCCCU
This 297-nucleotide long non-coding RNA is filed under the name Brassica napus (rape). RNAcentral describes it as "long non-coding RNA (BNAP_LNC024822)". Lineage: Eukaryota; Viridiplantae; Streptophyta; Magnoliopsida; Brassicales; Brassicaceae. The record is from RNAcentral.